UACGGAGGAUCCGAGCGUUAUCCGGAUUUAUUGGGUUUAAAGGGUGCGCAGGCGGGAGAUUAAGUCGGUGGUGAAAUUUUGCAGCUCAACUGUAAAAGUGCCAUUGAUACUGGUUUUCUUGAGUGUGGAUGAAGUAGGCGGAAUUUGUGGUGUAGCGGUGAAGUGCAUAGAUAUCACGAGGAACUCCGAUUGCGCAGGCAGCUUACUAAACUACUACUGACGCUCAUGCACGAAGGCGUGGGGAUCAAACAGGAUUAGA
This 259-nucleotide ribosomal RNA is filed under the name uncultured prokaryote. RNAcentral's name for it is "partial 16S ribosomal RNA". It matches the Rfam family "Bacterial small subunit ribosomal RNA", at positions 524 to 782 of the family's 1533-position model. The record is from RNAcentral.